This 468-nucleotide ribosomal RNA is filed under the name uncultured bacterium. RNAcentral describes it as "partial 16S ribosomal RNA". It matches the Rfam family "Bacterial small subunit ribosomal RNA", at positions 28 to 507 of the family's 1533-position model. The record is from RNAcentral.
GACGAACGCUGGCGGCGUGCUUAACACAUGCAAGUCGAACGGAAAGGCCCUGCUUUUGUGGGGUGCUCGAGUGGCGAACGGGUGAGUAACACGUGAGUAACCUGCCCUUGACUUUGGUAUAACUUCAGGAAACUGGGGCUAAUACCGUAUAGGAGCUCCUGCUGCAUGGUGGGGGUUGGAAAGUUUCGGCGGUUGGGGAUGGACUCGCGGCUUAUCAGCUUGUUGGUGGGGUAGUGGCUUACCAAGGCUUUGACGGGUAGCCGGCCUGAGAGGGUGACCGGCAACAUUGGGACUGGGAUACGGCCCAGACUCCUACGGGAGGCAGCAGUGGGGAAUAUUGCACAAUGGGCGGAAGCCUGAUGCAGCAACGCCGCGUGCGGGAUGACGGACUUCGGGUUGUAAACCGUUUUCGCCUGUGACGAAGCGUGAGUGACGGUAAUGGGUAAAGAAGCACCGGCUAACUCCGUG